GUGCUCGCUUCGGCAGCACAUAUACUAAGGUUGGAGCGAUGCAGGGAGGAUUGGCAUGGCCCCUGCACAAGGAUGACACGCAGGUUCGUGAAGCGUUCCAUAUUUUU
Myotis lucifugus (little brown bat) is the source of this 107-nucleotide small nuclear RNA. The record is from Ensembl. Lineage: Eukaryota; Metazoa; Chordata; Mammalia; Chiroptera; Vespertilionidae.